Molecule: ribosomal RNA, 477 nt
Filed under: uncultured bacterium
Lineage: Bacteria
Description: partial 16S ribosomal RNA
Rfam family: Bacterial small subunit ribosomal RNA
Source: RNAcentral
GAUGAACGCUGGCGGCGUGCUUAACACAUGCAAGUCGAACGGGAAACCUUUUAAUGAAGCUUCGGCAGAUUUAGCUGGUUUCUAGUGGCGGACGGGUGAGUAACGCGUGGGUAACCUGCCUUAUACAGGGGGAUAACAGUCAGAAAUGACUGCUAAUACCGCAUAAGCGCACAGGACCGCAUGGUCCGGUGUGAAAAACUCCGGUGGUAUAAGAUGGACCCGCGUUGGAUUAGCUUGUUGGUGGGGUAACGGCUCACCAAGGCGACGAUCCAUAGCCGGCCUGAGAGGGUGAACGGCCACAUUGGGACUGAGACACGGCCCAGACUCCGACGGGAGGCAGCAGUGGGGAAUAUUGCACAAUGGGGGAAACCCUGAUGCAGCGACGCCGCGUGAAGGAAGAAGUAUCUCGGUAUGUAAACUUCUAUCAGCAGGGAAGAUAGUGACGGUACCUGACUAAGAAGCCCCGGCUAACUACGU